RNAcentral lists this ribosomal RNA (253 nucleotides) under uncultured bacterium. RNAcentral describes it as "partial 16S ribosomal RNA". It matches the Rfam family "Bacterial small subunit ribosomal RNA", at positions 524 to 776 of the family's 1533-position model. The record is from RNAcentral.
GACGGAGGGUGCUAGCGUUGUUCGGAAUUACUGGGCGUAAAGGGCGCGUAGGCGGCUUUGUUAGUCGGGUGUGAAAGCCCGGGGCUCAACCCCGGAACGGCACCCGAUACUCCGAGGCUCGAGACCGGGAGAGGAGGGUGGAAUACCCAGUGUAGAGGUGAAAUUCGUAGAUAUUGGGUGGAACACCGGUGGCGAAAGCGGCUCUCUGGCCCGGUUCUGACGCUGAGGCGCGAAAGCGUGGGGAGCAAACAGG